GUUUACUGUCCUUCUUGUUUACUGACUAUAAAGGAGAAAAGAGGCUGUGUUUUAGUGGCUAUGUCCUCAGUACAAAGACUAGUGCCUUUUAGGUAGAGCAAAGCCAGAGGGAGUAAGGAGACAUCAUUUCUAGGUCUAGAGCAGUGUUUACCUGAUGGCCACAGUGGGGACCAUGGACAACUUCUGGCUGCUAACACCGAAUGUUCCUCCCCAUGAUAUCUCUGCAGGCCAUAUAAGGACACAGUGAGGAGGCAAUCUGCAACCCGAAGAGAGAGCCCUCACCAGACACCAACCCUGCUGGCACCCUGACCUUGGACUUCCAGAACUGUUUCAGCAAUUUAGAGAUGACAAAGAAGAUAAAGGAAAGCUUUAGAUGCAAAUAGCUACACGUGUUAAUGAGGACAUUGUCCCAUUGUGAGGUACCAGGAGGAUUUCACACAAUCUGCCUUCAGAACAGAAACCUCAAGAUGCUAAAGGAAGGACAGCAAAACCUUUCACUCUGACAGCAUUUGUGAAGACCCAUCUUGGGCAAAGGGCAGGAAACUCCUGGGGCCGGGCACUUGCACAUCCCUGCUCAUUGGGGAGGGGCAGGAUCACUGAGAAGGCCCCACUCCAAGGAUUCAGAAAAACAGCACUCAACUAAGGCUGAGAAUGAAAAAGAACAGUAAAGAAUACUGCCCUCUCCCCAAACCUGCCUAGUAAGAGUCGAGCAACAUGUAACAGCCAUCUACUGCUGGGGAUGGUAGAAGAGCAUGGAGAGAGAGCCUCUCUGAGCUCGAGGUGCAGAGAGAAAUCAUGAAGUUGAGGGUGGAGCACGCACUGAAGAAAACUCUCAACCAACUGGCUGGUCCCCACGCUAAACAGAAUGUAAUGCCAUUUGAAGUCUAUAGUAUGCUUAAAGUAACAGUAGGGACAACAAAACCCAAACCCAGCAAAUACCUAUUCAAUUGACUACACCUUAUCCCACAAUAAAAGAAAU
Long non-coding RNA from Mirounga angustirostris (Northern elephant seal), 979 nucleotides. RefSeq lists it as uncharacterized. The record is from RefSeq and is a predicted model, not a curated record. The transcript is spliced from 5 exons. Lineage: Eukaryota; Metazoa; Chordata; Mammalia; Carnivora; Phocidae.